RNAcentral lists this non-coding RNA (82 nucleotides) under Struthio camelus australis. The record is from RNAcentral. Lineage: Eukaryota; Metazoa; Chordata; Aves; Struthioniformes; Struthionidae.
UUAGGCUGUUACCUAUAGCUGAUGAGCUUCAAAAUGAAUGAAACCACUUAAAAUAGGUCCUGUAGAACUAUCCUUAGGGCCA